UACUACCGAAGCUACGGCAUCAGUAAUGAUGGGUAGGGGAGCUUCCCAUACGGGUUGAAGCAUGACCGUAAGGACAUGUGGACAGUAUGGGAGUGGGAAUGUUGGCAUGAGUAGCGAGAUGUGGGUGGGAAUCCCACAGGCCGUAAACCCAAGGUUUCCAGGGGAAGGUUCGUCCGCCCUGGGUUAGUCGGGACCUAAGCUGAGGCCGAAAGGCGUAGGUGAU
This 223-nucleotide ribosomal RNA is filed under the name Clostridioides difficile. RNAcentral describes it as "partial 23S ribosomal RNA". It matches the Rfam family "Bacterial large subunit ribosomal RNA", at positions 1189 to 1419 of the family's 2925-position model. Lineage: Bacteria; Bacillati; Bacillota; Clostridia; Peptostreptococcales; Peptostreptococcaceae. The record is from RNAcentral.